Long non-coding RNA from Lemur catta (Ring-tailed lemur), 711 nucleotides. RefSeq lists it as uncharacterized. The record is from RefSeq and is a predicted model, not a curated record. NCBI's taxonomy places the organism in Eukaryota, Metazoa, Chordata, Mammalia, Primates, Lemuridae. The transcript is spliced from 3 exons.
GUCUGUUUCUCUUUCUCUCUCCCUCUCUUGUGCCGUCCCUCAUUCAUUCACUCUUCCAUCUUUUUGCCAUUGUGCCAGCUCAAUUUAAAUGUAUCUGCUCUCUAUCUGUUCAAGUGGACAUAAUCCAUGCAAAUCAGGAACCGUGGCUUUCAAUGCCUGGUUCACAGAGAGGACUCAGCUUGAGGAGGUCACUCGUUCACAGCCGCUCCUCCCAUUAUAUUUUUCCCCUUAUUGCAGAACUGCUGUAUGUAUACAGUGACUGAAAGGACUCAAUGUACUGCAACUGCUGCCUGGCUUUACUUACAACUUUUUUUUAUAAAGGAACUUACCUCCAUCUGUCUUUUCAAGUUUCAGGGUAGAAAGGGUCCCUUUAACGCCUGAAGACAGUAAAUCACAGUUUGUGUGGUGGUUCUCAGAAGACACUUAAAGGACUGAACUGGAUGCUCUACAUAGCCCCCUUGCCAAAAGAGUUCGGAAAUGACUUCCAGCUUCCCACAGUAAUAAAAUGGCACUGUUUGGCAUCUUCGAGGGUCUAGGAGGAAGUUUGAUCAUCUUCCAUUUCCCAUCUGGUUAUUCAUAAGGCACCUGCACGGCUGUGAUUUCUCCUAGACUACACAAUGCUACCAGCUGACAACAAACAUUUUAUAAAGGAAGACCACCUUUCAGAAAAGGCAUCUGAACAUUAGAAGCUUGUCAACCAAAGACACGGGA